This 612-nucleotide ribosomal RNA is filed under the name uncultured bacterium. Its description in RNAcentral is "bacterial SSU rRNA". It matches the Rfam family "Bacterial small subunit ribosomal RNA", at positions 62 to 685 of the family's 1533-position model. The record is from RNAcentral.
ACGGACUUAACCGAAUAUUUAUAUUUUGGAGCGGUUAGUGGCGGACUGGUGAGUAACGCGUAAGCAAUCUGCCUAUUAGAGGGGAAUAACAGUGAGAAAUCACUGCUAAUACCGCAUAUGCCAUGAACAUCGCAUGAUGAAAAUGGGAAAGGAGUAAUCCGCUAAUAGAUGAGCUUGCGUCUGAUUAACUAGUUGGUGUGGUAAUGGCAUACCAAGGUAACGAUCAGUAGCCGGACUGAGAGGUUGAACGGCCACAUUGGGACUGAGAUACGGCCCAGACUCCUACGGGAGGCAGCAGUCGGGAAUAUUGCGCAAUGGAGGAAACUCUGACGCAGUGACGCCGCGUAUAGGAUGAAGGUUUUCGGAUUGUAAACUAUUGUCAUUAGGGAAGAUAAAAGACAGUACCUAAGGAGGAAGCUCCGGCUAACUACGUGCCAGCAGCCGCGGUAAUACGUAGGGAGCAAGCGUUAUCCGGAUUUAUUGGGUGUAAAGGGUGCGUAGACGGGAGAUUAAGUUAGUUGUGAAAGCCCUUGGCUUAACUGAGGAAUUGCAACUAAAACUGGUUUUCUUGAGUGCAGGAGAGGUAAGUGGAAUUCCUAGUGUAGCGGUGAA